Molecule: ribosomal RNA, 253 nt
Filed under: uncultured bacterium
Lineage: Bacteria
Description: partial 16S ribosomal RNA
Rfam family: Bacterial small subunit ribosomal RNA
Source: RNAcentral
UACGUAGGGUGCAAGCGUUGUCCGGAAUUAUUGGGCGUAAAGAGCUCGUAGGCGGUUCGUCGCGUCGGCUGUGAAAUCCCGAGGCUCAACCUCGGGUCUGCAGUCGAUACGGGCGGACUGGAGUUCGGCAGGGGAGACUGGAAUUCCUGGUGUAGCGGUGAAAUGCGCAGAUAUCAGGAGGAACACCGGUGGCGAAGGCGGGUCUCUGGGCAGUAACUGACGCUGAGGAGCGAAAGCGUGGGGAGCGAACAGG